AAAUGAAUAGACGGGGGCCCGCACAAGCAGCGGAGCAUGUGGUUUAAUUCGAAGCAACGCGAAGAACCUUACCAAGGCUUGACAUCCCGCUAAAGCCAUGGAAACAUGGUGUCCCUUCGGGGGAGCGGAGACAGGUGGUGCAUGGUUGUCGUCAGCUCGUGUCGUGAGAUGUUGGGUUAAGUCCCGCAACGAGCGCAACCCUUAUUCUCAGUUACCAGCGCGUAAAGGCGGGGACUCUGAGGAGACUGCCGGGGACAACUCGGAGGAAGGUGGGGACGACGUCAAAUCAUCAUGCCCCUUAUGUCUUGGGCUACACACGUGCUACAAUGGCCACAACAGAGGGCAGCGAAGCCGUAAGGCGGAGCAAAUCUCAAAAAAGUGGUCCCAGUUCGGAUUGUGGGCUGCAACCCGCCCACAUGAAGUCGGAGUUGCUAGUAAUCGCGAAUCAGCAUGUCGCGGUGAAUACGUUCCCGGGCCUUGUACACACCGCCCGU
RNAcentral lists this ribosomal RNA (494 nucleotides) under uncultured bacterium. Its description in RNAcentral is "bacterial SSU rRNA". It matches the Rfam family "Bacterial small subunit ribosomal RNA", at positions 903 to 1397 of the family's 1533-position model. The record is from RNAcentral.